Molecule: ribosomal RNA, 222 nt
Filed under: uncultured bacterium
Lineage: Bacteria
Description: partial 16S ribosomal RNA
Rfam family: Bacterial small subunit ribosomal RNA
Source: RNAcentral
GAUCAUGGCUCUGAUUGAACGCUGGCGGCAUGCUUUACACAUGCAAGUCGAACGGCAGCAUAGAGAGCUUGCUCUCUGAUGGCGAGUGGCGAACGGGUGAGUAAUACAUCGGAACGUGUCCGUUUGUGGGGGACAACCAUCCGAAAGGAUGGCUAAUACCGCAUAAGACCUGAGGGUGAAAGCCGGGGACCGCAAGGCCUGGCGCGAACGGAGCGGCCGAUG